UUGGAGGGCAAGUCUGGUGCCAGCAGCCGCGGUAAUUCCAGCUCCAAUAGCGUAUAUUAAAGUUGUUGCGGUUAAAAAGCUCGUAGUUGAACCUUGGGCCUGGCUGGCCGGUCCGCCUCACCGCGUGUACUGGUCCGGCCGGGCCUUUCCUUCUGGGGAACCUCAUGCCCUUCACUGGGCGUGUUGGGGAACCAGGACUUUUACUUUGAAAAAAUUAGAGUGUUCAAAGCAGGCCUUUGCUCGAAUACAUUAGCAUGGAAUAAUAGAAUAGGACGUGUGGUUCUAUUUUGUUGGUUUCUAGGACCGCCGUAAUGAUUAAUAGGGAUAGUCGGGGGCAUCAGUAUUCAAUCGUCAGAGGUGAAAUUCUUGGAUUGAUUGAAGACUAACUACUGCGAAAGCAUUUGCCAAGGAUGUUUUCAUUAAUCAGUGAACGAAAGUUAGGGGAUCGAAGACGAUCAGAUACCGUCGUAGUCUUAACCAUAAACUAUGCCGACUAGGGAUCGGACGGUGUUAGUAUUUUGACCCGUUUGGCACCUUACGGGAAAC
This 546-nucleotide ribosomal RNA is filed under the name uncultured Ascomycota. RNAcentral describes it as "SSU rRNA". It matches the Rfam family "Eukaryotic small subunit ribosomal RNA", at positions 548 to 1098 of the family's 1831-position model. Lineage: Eukaryota; Fungi; Ascomycota. The record is from RNAcentral.